This 639-nucleotide ribosomal RNA is filed under the name uncultured bacterium. Its description in RNAcentral is "bacterial SSU rRNA". It matches the Rfam family "Bacterial small subunit ribosomal RNA", at positions 232 to 885 of the family's 1533-position model. The record is from RNAcentral.
CGCGGCCUAUCAGCUUGUUGGUGAGGUAACGGCUCACCAAGGCUUCGACGGGUAGCUGGUCUGAGAGGACGAUCAGCCACACUGGGACUGAGACACGGCCCAGACUCCUGCGGGAGGCAGCAGUGGGGAAUCUUGCGCAAUGGGCGAAAGCCUGACGCAGCCACGCCGCGUGGGGGACGAAGGCCCUCGGGUUGUAAACCCCUUUCAGCAGGGACGAAACUGACGGUACCUGCAGAAGAGGCUCCGGCCAACUACGUGCCAGCAGCCGCGGUAAUACGUAGGGGACAAGCGUUGUCCGGAUUCAUUGGGCGUAAAGAGCUCGUAGGCGGUUCAGUAAGUUGGGUGUGAAAGCUCCGGGCUCAACCCGGAGAGGCCACUCAAUACUGCUGUGACUAGAGUCCAGUAGAGGAGCGUGGAACUCCUGGUGUAGCGGUGAAAUGCGCAGAUAUCAGGAAGAACACCGGCAGCGAAGGCGGCGCUCUGGGCUGGUACUGACGCUGAGGAGCGAAAGCAUGGGUAGCAAACAGGAUUAGAUACCCCGGUAGUCCAUGCCGUAAACGUUGGGCACUAGGUGUGGGGAGGAAUCAACCCUCUCCGUGCCGUAGCUAACGCAUUAAGUGCCCCGCCUGGGGAGUACGG